RNAcentral lists this ribosomal RNA (842 nucleotides) under uncultured bacterium. Its description in RNAcentral is "bacterial SSU rRNA". It matches the Rfam family "Bacterial small subunit ribosomal RNA", at positions 28 to 896 of the family's 1533-position model. The record is from RNAcentral.
GAUGAACGCUGGCGGCGUGCUUAAUCCAUGCAAGUCGAACGAACCGGGGCAACCUGGUUAGUGGCGGACGGGUGCGUAACACGUGGGUGACCUACCCUGAAGUGGGGAAUAACUGUCCGAAAGGGCAGCUAAUACCGCAUGUGGUCUGGCAGCAGAUGUCAGAUUAAAGGCGCAAGUCGCUUCAGGAGGGGCCCGCGGCCUAUCAGCUAGUUGGUGGGGUAAGAGCCUACCAAGGCGAAGACGGGUAGCUGGUCUGAGAGGAUGAUCAGCCACACUGGCACUGAAAUACGGGCCAGACUCCUACGGGAGGCAGCAGGAAGGAAUUUUGGACAAUGGGGGAAACCCUGAUCCAGCAACGCCGCGUGGGCGAUGAAGGUCUUCGGAUCGUAAAGCCCUUUUCUGUGGGAAGAGGCAGGACGGUACCACAGGAAUAAGUCUCGGCUAACUACGUGCCAGCAGCCGCGGUAAAACGUAGGAGGCAAGCGUUAUCCGGAUUUACUGGGCGUAAAGCGCAUGCAGGCGGCCGUGCAAGUUGGGCGUGAAAUCUCUCGGCUUAACCGGGAGGGGUCGUCCAAUACUGCGGGGCUUGGGUGCAGGAGAGGGAAGCGGAAUUUCCAGUGUAGCGGUAAUAUGCGCAGAUAUUGGAAAGAACACCAGUGGCGAAGGCGGCUUCCUGGUCUGUAACCGACGCUAAGAUGCGAAAGCUAGGGGAGCGAACGGGAUUAGAUACCCCGGUAGUCCUAGCUGUAAACGAUGGAUACUAGGUGUGAGUGGUAUUGACCCCACUUGUGCCGAAGCUAACGCGUUAAGUAUCCCGCCUGGGGACUACGACCGCAAGGUUA